RNAcentral lists this long non-coding RNA (1375 nucleotides) under Geospiza fortis (medium ground-finch). RNAcentral describes it as "lncRNA (ENSGFOG00000004307.1)". The record is from RNAcentral. Lineage: Eukaryota; Metazoa; Chordata; Aves; Passeriformes; Thraupidae.
AAUUUAUCAGAUAAAAUGUUGCUUUAAAUAUAAAUGGAAAUAUUGAGGAUUAACUGGCCUGGUUUUUUUUGUCUCUUUGACAGAAUGUGAUAUAUGCCGAGUAUACGGAGUCAGAUCAAACCAUCAGGAAUUUUUGGACUGUGUUUCACGAGCUACCAGAAGAAAAAAAGAAAAUGUUUCUUGUUUUUUUGUCAGGAUCUGAUCGAAUUUCUGGCUAUGGACUGGAACCUUUUAGAUUUUGCAUUGCAGAUCCCCACAUAGAAAAUCCAGAUAAGAGCUCUCCCUAUGCCAGUACUUGCUGCCUGACUUUGUUCCUCCCCAGAUACAGCAGAAAAAAAAUACUCAAAAAGAAGUUGCUUUAUGCCAUAGAGCAUAAUGAAGGUUUUGGCCGUGAGUAACUCUGGGAUAGAAGCACUUAAAAGCAAAAAUAAGAAUAUGAGUCUUUGUUCACUUGCCAUAUUUUCUCUUAAUAACUCAAAUUUACUGGUUUCUACCCUGCCUUAUUUUUACUGGACUUUAUAAACACCUGAGUGUGUGUAUUUGCUGAGAUUUUACAUUGCUUAUAAAAUUGAGCUUUGACCAGACAUUUCAUAGUUAGAUUGUAAAGUUAGGAAAGAAGAAUGCUGUUUGGCACACUUCAGAGAAGCAAGCUGAUAACCAAGCAUAUUUACAUAUAUGUGCAGGCAGGGUCUGCACUGUUCUGGUUGUGUUAGGACAGUGAGCUCCCAGCAGCAGGGAUGCUGUGAUUUGUACAUUUAUGCAUUAGCAAGCACACAACCAGGAUGUGCUAAGCAGUCACCCUUGCAGAGCAAAGCCAGGGUAAGGUUUUAAUUUGUGUUACUUAAGGGUUCUCAUGGGAGCAACUAACACAUUUAAUGAGAUUGGGAACUGAAGGAGCAGUCUGUGCUUACCUGGAUAUGGUCUAUGAUUUAUCUGAGAGAAAUUUGUAGGAGGAUUUGAUCAUUCCUAGACUUUUUCAAAAGCUGUAUUAAUGAAUUAUAAUAAUACAAUUUUUUUGUUAUUUAGUGUGAUAAUUGUGAUAUUUGCCAUGUUUCAUUAUAACUUCUAAGGAGAUGUUUCACAAUUAAAUCAUAAAAUCUUAGGCUUGCAGAACAGCACUGCCUACAGAGCCCUGUGGACAUGAGGCUGGCAGGGCUUCAGGAAUCUCAUUGUCAAAACAGUGCAGAGCACUGGCAGGAUAUUAACCAUGUCAGGCAGGAUGUGUGUUUACUGUGUAUUUUGCUAUGUGAAGAGAGGGAGAGACACAACAGCCAUUAUUUUUCAGCAGUCUUCUCUUUGGUGCAUUAAAUGUGUCAGGGGACAUCCAUAUGUAAAGAAGACUUCCACUGUCUUAAAUGAUGAUGGAUUAAAUUUU